GACGAACGCUGGCGGCGUGCUUAACACAUGCAAGUCGAACGGAGAUAUCUAAGUAGUAAUACGACGAUAUCUUAGUGGCGGACGGGUGAGUAACACGUGGGUAACCUGCCCUAUGGAGGGGAUAACACAAAGAAAUUUGUGCUAAUACCGCAUAACAUAACGAGAUCGCAUGGUUUUGUUAUCAAAGAUUUAUUGCCAUAGGAUGGACCCGCGGCCCAUUAGCUAGUUGGUGAGGUAACGGCUCACCAAGGCGACGAUGGGUAGCCGACCUGAGAGGGUGAACGGCCACAUUGGAACUGAGACACGGUCCAGACUCCUACGGGAGGCAGCAGUGGGGAAUAUUGCACAAUGGGGGAAACCCUGAUGCAGCAACGCCGCGUGAGCGACGAAGGCCUUCGGGUCGUAAAGCUCUGUCUUAGCUGACGAUAAUGACGGUAAGCUAGGAGGAAGCCACGGCUAACUACGUGCCA
Molecule: ribosomal RNA, 470 nt
Filed under: uncultured Fonticella sp.
Lineage: Bacteria; Bacillati; Bacillota; Clostridia; Eubacteriales; Clostridiaceae
Description: bacterial SSU rRNA
Rfam family: Bacterial small subunit ribosomal RNA
Source: RNAcentral